This 114-nucleotide ribosomal RNA is filed under the name Salmonella enterica subsp. enterica. The record is from RNAcentral. Lineage: Bacteria; Pseudomonadati; Pseudomonadota; Gammaproteobacteria; Enterobacterales; Enterobacteriaceae.
UGGCGGCAGUAGCGCGGUGGUCCCACCUGACCCAUGCCGAACUCAGAAGUGAAACGCCGUAGCGCCGAUGGUAGUGUGGGGUCUCCCCAUGCGAGAGUAGGGAACUGCCAGGCA